RNAcentral lists this long non-coding RNA (339 nucleotides) under Ananas comosus (pineapple). RNAcentral describes it as "long non-coding RNA (ACOM_LNC001882)". Lineage: Eukaryota; Viridiplantae; Streptophyta; Magnoliopsida; Poales; Bromeliaceae. The record is from RNAcentral.
ACGGUUGGCGACGACGCAAUCUCGGCAAAAGAGUUAUGCCGAUAAGCGGAGAAAAGAUUUAGAGUUCGUGGUUGGAGACCGUGUAUUUUUUAGAGUAUCCGCAUCUAUUCGAAUCGACGAGUUAAGGUAUGCGUAAUUUCGCGGAAGAAAUUAUUUUAAGAGGUAGAGAAUGUAAUAUACCGAAAAUUCGGAAAAUAAAUAUCGAACUUUAGUCAAAUUGACCAAAGUGCGAUGAUGGUACACAUCGAAAAGUCCGAAGGUGUUAAAAUGAUCAAGAGUGCGUUGUGGAAGGUUUUCGAGAGCUAAAGAAUCAAAUUCUGCAAAACUGCAGAUUUUGAG